RNAcentral lists this unclassified non-coding RNA (228 nucleotides) under Hevea brasiliensis (rubber tree). Lineage: Eukaryota; Viridiplantae; Streptophyta; Magnoliopsida; Malpighiales; Euphorbiaceae. The record is from RNAcentral.
GUUAUCAAAUCUCUCAGGCUUAAAACUCAAUGGAUCAUCCCAAAGGGAAGGAUCCCUAUGUAUGGCCCAUGCAUUUACCAACACCAUUGUAUCACGUGGCAAGUCAUAUCCUCCAAUACUGCAAUUGUCAGAUGAUACGUGAGGGAGGAGAAGUGGUGCUGCUGGGUAUAAUCGUAGGGUCUCGACGAUGAUCUUUUGAAGGUAUGGUAAUGUGGAAAGAUGAAGUUC